Molecule: unclassified non-coding RNA, 149 nt
Organism: Callithrix jacchus (white-tufted-ear marmoset)
Lineage: Eukaryota; Metazoa; Chordata; Mammalia; Primates; Cebidae
Rfam family: Metazoan signal recognition particle RNA
About the family: The signal recognition particle (SRP) is a universally conserved ribonucleoprotein. It is involved in the co-translational targeting of proteins to membranes.
Source: Ensembl
GCUGGGCAUGGUGGCGCAUGCCUGUAAUCCCAGCUACUCAGGAGGCUGAGGCAGGAGAAUUGCUUGAACCCAGGAGGCGGAGGUUGCGGUGAGCCGAGAUCGCGCCAUUGCAAUCCAGCCUGGGUAACAAGAGCAAAACACUGUCUCAA